UGACCGCUGGCGGCGUGCCUAAUACAUGCACGUCGAGCGAACAGAUGAGGAGCUUGCUCCUCUGACGUUAGCGGCGGACGGGUGAGUAACACGUGGAUAACCUACCUAUAAGACUGGGAUAACUUCGGGAAACCGGAGCUAAUACCGGAUAAUAUAUUGAACCGCAUGGUUCAAUAGUGAAAGACGGUUUUGCUGUCACUUAUAGAUGGAUCCGCGCCGCAUUAGCUAGUUGGUAAGGUAACGGCUUACCAAGGCAACGAUGCGUAGCCGACCUGAGAGGGUGAUCGGCCACACUGGAACUGAGACACGGUCCAGACUCCUACGGGAGGCAGCAGUAGGGAAUCUUCCGCAAUGGGCGAAAGCCUGACGGAGCAACGCCGCGUGAGUGAUGAAGGUCUUCGGAUCGUAAAACUCUGUUAUUAGGGAAGAACAAAUGUGUAAGUAACUAUGCACGUCUUGACGGUACCUAAUCAGAAAGCCACGGCUAACUACGUG
Molecule: ribosomal RNA, 495 nt
Filed under: uncultured bacterium
Lineage: Bacteria
Description: partial 16S ribosomal RNA
Rfam family: Bacterial small subunit ribosomal RNA
Source: RNAcentral